RNAcentral lists this transfer RNA (67 nucleotides) under Necturus lewisi (Neuse river waterdog). RNAcentral describes it as "tRNA-Tyr". The record is from RNAcentral. Lineage: Eukaryota; Metazoa; Chordata; Amphibia; Caudata; Proteidae.
GAUAAAAAAAGGAUUUUAACCUUUAUAUCAAGGGCUACAACCUUGCGCCUACCUCGGCCAUUUUACC